RNAcentral lists this ribosomal RNA (445 nucleotides) under uncultured bacterium. RNAcentral describes it as "bacterial SSU rRNA". It matches the Rfam family "Bacterial small subunit ribosomal RNA", at positions 57 to 518 of the family's 1533-position model. The record is from RNAcentral.
GCAAGUCGAGCGAGUGAAGUCCUCGGGGACGGAGUAGCGGCGGACGGGUGAGUAACACGUGGGUAACCUGCCUCAGUAGAGGGGAAUAGCCUUCCGAAAGGAAGAUUAAUACCGCAUAAGAUUGUAGUUUCGCAUGAAACAGCAAUUAAAGGAGUAAUCCGCUAUGAGAUGGACCCGCGUCGCAUUAGCUAGUGGUGAGGUAACGGCUCACCAAGGCGACGAUGCGUAGCCGACCUGAGAGGGUAAUCGGCCACAUUGGGACUGGGACACGGCCCAGACUCCUACGGGAGGCAGCAGUGGGGAAUAUUGCACAAUGGGGGAAACCCUGAUGCAGCCAACGCCGCGUGAGUGAUGACGGUCUUCGGAUUGUAAAGCUCGUGUCUUCAGGGACGAUAAUGACGGUACCUGAGGAGGAAGCCACGGCUAACUACGUGCCAGCCGCGGC